Molecule: ribosomal RNA, 858 nt
Filed under: uncultured organism
Description: bacterial SSU rRNA
Rfam family: Bacterial small subunit ribosomal RNA
Source: RNAcentral
CUUACACAUGCAAGUCGCCCGGAGAUUGUAUAUAUGUAAUCUUAGCGGCGGACGGGUGAGUAACGCGUANGCAACCUGCCUUGCACAGAGGGAUAACACCGGGAAAGUGGUGCUAAUACCACAUGAUAUCAUAACAAGGCAUCUUGAAAUGAUCAAAGGAUAAAUCCGGUGCAAGAUGGGCCUGCGUCCGAUUAGUUAGUUGGUGAGGUAACGGCUCACCAAGGCGACGAUCGGUAGCCGAACUGAGAGGUUGAUCGGCCACCUUGGGACUGAGACACGGCCCAGACUCCUACGGGAGGCAGCAGUGGGGAAUAUUGCGCAAUGGGGGGAACCCUGACGCAGCAACGCCGCGUGAAGGAAGAAGGCCUUCGGGUUGUAAACUUUUUUGAUUGGGGAAGAAAAAAUGACGGUACCCAAGGAACAAGCCACGGCUAACUACGUGCCAGCAGCCGCGGUAAUACGUAGGUGGCGAGCGUUGUCCGGAAUUACUGGGUGUAAAGGGCGUGUAGGCGGGAUUGUAAGUCAGAUGUGAAAUUCCAGGGCUUAACUCUGGAGGUGCAUCUGAAACUAUAAUUCUUGAGUGCUGGAGAGGAAAGCGGAAUUCCUAGUGUAGCGGCGAAAUGCGUAGAUAUUAGGAAGAACACCAGUGGCGAAGGCGGCUUUCUGGACAGUAACUGACGCUGAGGCGCGAAAGCGUGGGGAGCAAACAGGAUUAGAUACCCUGGUAGUCCACGCUGUAAACGAUGGAUACUAGGUGUAGGAGGUAUCGACCCCUUCUGUGCCGGAGUUAACACAAUAAGUAUCCCACCUGGGGAGUACGGCCGCAAGGCUGAAACUCCAAGGAAUUGACGGGGGCCC